CCUACGGGGGGCAGCAGUGAGGAAUAUUGGUCAAUGGUCGGGAGACUGAACCAGCCAAGCCGCGUGAGGGAUGAAGGUACAGAGUUUCGUAAACCUCUUUUGUCAGGGAACAAAGGCGGGGACGUGUCCCCGGAUGAGUGUACCUGAAGAAAAAGCAUCGGCUAACUCCGUGCCAGCAGCCGCGGUAAUACGGAGGUGGCAAGCGUUGUCCGGAUUUACUGGGUGUAAAGGGCGUGUAGCCGGGCCGGCAAGUCAGAUGUGAAAUCCCAAGGCUCAACCUUGGAACUGCAUUUGAAACUGUUGGUCUUGAGUAUCGGAGAGGCAGGCGGAAUUCCUAGUGUAGCGGUGAAAUGCGUAGAUAUUAGGAGGAACACCAGUGGCGAAGGCGGCCUGCUGGACGACAACUGACGGUGAGGCGCGAAAGCGUGGGGAGCAAACAGGAUUAGAUACCCGGGUAGUC
RNAcentral lists this ribosomal RNA (460 nucleotides) under uncultured bacterium. Its description in RNAcentral is "partial 16S ribosomal RNA". It matches the Rfam family "Bacterial small subunit ribosomal RNA", at positions 338 to 795 of the family's 1533-position model. The record is from RNAcentral.